This 243-nucleotide unclassified non-coding RNA is filed under the name Glomeraceae sp. RNAcentral's name for it is "partial contains 5.8S ribosomal RNA and internal transcribed spacer 2". The stretch from base 1 to 71 matches the Rfam family "5.8S ribosomal RNA", at positions 84 to 154 of the family's 154-position model. Lineage: Eukaryota; Fungi; Glomeromycota; Glomeromycetes; Glomerales; Glomeraceae. The record is from RNAcentral.
GUGAAUCAUCGAAUCUUUGAACGCAAAUUGCGCUUCCUAGCAUCCCGGGAAGUAUGCCUGGUUGAGGGUCAGUAUUAACAAAAAAAUCGGUUUGGUUGCAAAUUGUGACGUUUCCGGAGUUUGGGCUAUCUUAACUUUUUUGGUUAAGGGGCUUAAAAUUUACCUUUUUUGCGCAUUUUUAGACGUACAUAAAUUUUUUUUUUUUUAGUCUAUCCUUGAUUCCAAAUUCUAUUUAGAUUCAAU